Non-coding RNA from Kalmanozyma brasiliensis GHG001, 73 nucleotides. NCBI's taxonomy places the organism in Eukaryota, Fungi, Basidiomycota, Ustilaginomycetes, Ustilaginales. The record is from the annotation of a RefSeq genome assembly.
GUCUUCGUGGCCUAGUUGGUAGGGCGUAGGUCUCAUAAUCCUAAGAUCGCGAGUUCGAGCCUCGCCGAGGACA